RNAcentral lists this long non-coding RNA (1408 nucleotides) under Anser cygnoides (Swan goose). Its description in RNAcentral is "lncRNA (ENSACDG00005001104.1)". Lineage: Eukaryota; Metazoa; Chordata; Aves; Anseriformes; Anatidae. The record is from RNAcentral.
AUGCUUUGCAGAGUUCAGCCUGCCCGCCUGGUGAUCAACUGCUCCAACUUCUCAGCAGGCAGCACGGCCGGGACGAGCACGCGGCAGGAGCAGCGAGGGAGGUGGUGCAUGGUGUGCCGUACGAGGAGCCUGAAAGCAAGAGCUGCUCAGCAGGGCAGUGAAGUUGUUUUGCAAGACAGGUGGCUGCGGGGUCUCUUUGGUCAGCGGGAUUGGAAGAGAGCCAUCGUCUGCUUCCUCGAUGGUCUGCCAGCCCAUGUGUUUGAAAAUGAUAAUGCAGCUCUUCUUCCUGUGAGGGGUAGCAAGUAUCCCUCUCCUUUGCUUCCUUGCCUAGUAGAGGCUGCUGACCGAUGCUGCACGAUGCAAGAUGCACUUCUCCCUCUCCAUCCUGGCAGCAUAAAGGAGGAUUAAGCCUGUGACCUUGGGAAUUGAUGUGACCCACUCACAAAAGAGAAGGCUUUCACUCCAGAGCCCGGGUGGUUGUGUAGUGCCAUGCGUACAACCAAAUAUAGCCUUCCUGCCAUUCAGACAGAAAGCAGCAUGUUUUGGAGCAACUUCCCUGGGAGGGGGAGGAACAGAUGUUGGAACCAGAAGCGUAUGUGACAGUUGGGAGAGACAGCGUGGAAACGCACAGUUGAAAGGAGAAGUCUGAUGGGAGUGUGAUGACAGCAGCAGGACUCCAGUGACAAGGAGUGGGAAGGAGAACAAGCAGAGAGGAGUGUUACUUCGAAAGCCGAGCAAAGUGCACAAGAAGAUGUGUCAGGAAAGCGUCAGGGAAAGGAAGGGAGGAAAUGUGAGAGUAGAGACAGGCUUUGGGAUCUGUCUGCAAGCAUGUGUGACCUGUUGCCUGACAAACAGAGAAAGGAAAAGCUUUUAUUCCUCUGCCGCCUUCGGCUGGGCUAACUCUGCUUGCAGCCAAGCUGGCCGGCUAGCCCUGGUGGAGUCUUCAGGCGUCCUGGUAGCACCUGGGAAAGGUAAAGCUGCCUGUGCUUCCACCAGAGCUCUGAACUCCUGGGGUAAUGCAUGUUUGGGACUACAGCAGGGAUGCUGGAUCGCCCAGGCCUUGCUUCAGCCUGGUGUCUUUGCAGGGUAGCACAGUAGCCACGUGCCUUGGGAUGCUGAAAAUGGGGGGAGCGGUGCCAUCUUCGUAACAGGCUUCCCCUCUGAAAUUGCAUUCGUCGUAAGGGCAGGAUGCAUGAGGAGAGGCAGAGAACAAGUGAGCGUGUGUUCUUCCUGCGGCAGGGAGGGACUCUCCAGCAGCGCCGUACCCUGGUGAUAUAAAUCACCUCUCUGCAGUGUCCGGUUUUACCUUAGUUCAGCAGAUGUGCAAGGCACACUGGGAGUGUGCCGCUGGAGUGUAAAGCCCCUGAUCUUACAGAGACUGCAAGAGCAGGGGGAGGGGGUGCUGCAA